RNAcentral lists this ribosomal RNA (497 nucleotides) under uncultured bacterium. Its description in RNAcentral is "partial 16S ribosomal RNA". It matches the Rfam family "Bacterial small subunit ribosomal RNA", at positions 28 to 507 of the family's 1533-position model. The record is from RNAcentral.
GAUGAACGCUGGCGGCGUGCCUAAUACAUGCAAGUCGAGCGAACGGACGAGAAGCUUGCUCCUCUGAUGUUAGCGGCGGACGGGUGAGUAACACGUGGAUAACCUACCUAUAAGACUGGGAUAACUUCGGGAAACCGGAGCUAAUACCGGAUAAUAUUUUGAACCGCAUGGUUCAAAAGUGAAAGACGGUCUUGCUGUCACUUAUAGAUGGAUCCGCUCCGCAUUAGCUAGUUGGUAAGGUAACGGCUUACCAAGGCAACGAUGCGUAGCCGACCUGAGAGGGUGAUCGGCCACACUGGAACUGAGACACGGUCCAGACUCCUACGGGAGGCAGCAGUAGGGAAUCUUCCGCAAUGGGCGAAAGCCUGACGGAGCAACGCCGCGUGAGUGAUGAAGGUCUUCGGAUCGUAAAACUCUGUUAUUAGGGAAGAACAAAUGUGUAAGUAACUAUGCACGUCUUGACGGUACCUAAUCAGAAAGCCACGGCUAACUACGUG